RNAcentral lists this transfer RNA (84 nucleotides) under Canis lupus familiaris (dog). It matches the Rfam family "tRNA". From Rfam's summary of the family: Transfer RNA (tRNA) molecules are approximately 80 nucleotides in length. Their secondary structure includes four short double-helical elements and three loops (D, anti-codon, and T loops). Further hydrogen bonds mediate the characteristic L-shaped molecular structure. tRNAs have two regions of fundamental functional importance: the anti-codon, which is responsible for specific mRNA codon recognition, and the 3' end, to which the tRNAs corresponding amino acid is attached (by aminoacyl-tRNA synthetases). tRNAs cope with the degeneracy of the genetic code in two manners: having more than one tRNA (with a specific anti-codon) for a particular amino acid; and 'wobble' base-pairing, i.e. permitting non-standard base-pairing at the 3rd anti-codon position. Lineage: Eukaryota; Metazoa; Chordata; Mammalia; Carnivora; Canidae. The record is from Rfam by way of RNAcentral. RNAcentral also lists the same sequence under 1 other name.
GCCCGGGUGGCUCAGUGGUUGAGCGUCUGCCUUUGACUCAGGAUGUGAUCCCAGGGGUUCUGGGAUCGAGUCCUACACCGGGCU